Molecule: long non-coding RNA, 3908 nt
Filed under: Canis lupus familiaris (dog)
Lineage: Eukaryota; Metazoa; Chordata; Mammalia; Carnivora; Canidae
Description: lncRNA (ENSCAFG00040025280.1)
Source: RNAcentral
AUGAUGAAUAAAAUACUUCACAAACUUCAACUGAAAUAUGAAAUCACUGGAUCUGUGCACAUCCGAGAUUGCUGGAGAAUCAUUUUUAAUCUUGAAUUUGUGAGACCUGAACAUCCCUGGCGGCUCAGCAGUUUAGCGCUGCCUUCAGCCGGGGGCCUGAUCCUGAAGACCUGGAAUCGAGUCCCGUCGGGCUCCCUGCAUGGAGCCUGUUUCUCCCUCUUCCUGUGUCUUUGCCCCUUUCUCUCUUUCUGUCUUUCAUGAAUAAAUAAAUAAAAUCUUAAAAAAAAAAAAAAAGGAAUUUGUGAGAUCUUAGGGAUUCUUUCUGCAAAUGUGGAAACUGAAACCCAAGCUAAAAAAAUGAUAUGCGGGAAUACCCAUUCAAAAUAGGUUGCCACAUUUAAAUAUCGACUUGGCUAGUGAUUUGAGAAUGUGGGAAGCAACAUUCACUGGGUACCAGCCUCACCCAGAGUGACACAGAACCUUUGCCUAGGCAGAAAAUUUCCUCUCCACAGCUUGUCAUCUGUCUUACGUUUAGGAUCCUUGGGAACCUGAAGAAUAUUAGGUCUUUUUAUUAAAGAUACUUCUCUUCCAAAAUCUAGCAAGCUUUAGCAACCUGCAUAUGUUGUAAUGCACAAAAUACUUAAUGUAGUACUUCUUUCUUUGGGAGUGGGGGUGGGGAUUUUUCUUUUUUCUUUUAUUUUUUAUUUUAAUUCCAGUAUAGUUUGCAUACGUUAUUAUACUAGUUUCAGGGACUUAUUCUGGGGAUCCAGUAGUGGCUCAAUAUUCUCAGUCAGCAUGAUGCCACACAUUAACAAAUUGAAGGAUAAAAAUCAUAAGAUCAUUUUAAUGUUCAGAAUAAACUAUUGAAUAGAAAAAUCAAACAUCUGAUUUUAUGAUAAAAACUCUCAACAGAGUGGGUAUGAGAGGAUAUACUUCAACAAAUGAAGGCCAUGUAAAUAUAAAAUACUCAAAAGUAACAUCAUACUCAGUGGUGGAAGAUUUAAUGCUUUAGCCCUAACAAAGAUCAGGAACAACACAAGGAAGUCCACUCGCCCGCUUUGAUUCCACCUAGUACUGCAAGUCUCAGCUGUAAGAAUCUUCUUAGACGUGGCCUCUUUUCUCCUUUUAGUUGUGGAAUCUGUUCUGUCAGUCUUCAGGACAAUUUGUGGGGUAUUUAGGAUGAUUUGAUAGUUACCUAGUUCUCUCCAUAGUAUAUCAUUCUUAAUUUGAAGGAGACAAGUUUCUGGAGGAGAAAGAUGGUAAGGUUAUAUAGUUAGGCACUAUAGAACAGUGUUUUUCAAACUUUCUGGUCUCAGAACCCUUUACAUUUUAAAGAAUUACCAGGGAUGCCAAAGUGUUCUUGUAUAUGUAUACUAUAGAGAGAGGUAUUUAUUGUUAGAAACUAAAGCUGAGAGUUUAUGAAAUAUGUAAAUUAUCAUUUUAAAGUGGCAGCAAAAUAUUUAUUGCACAUUAAUAUAUUUUUUAUCCAGAACAGCUGUCUUUGCAAAAAAAUAAUAAUGAGGAGUAUGGCAUUGUUUUACAUCUCUGUAAAUAUCUUUAAUGUCUGCUUGAUAGAAUACAGGCUGAUCAUCAUGUUUCUACAUUCAUUCUCAGAAGGUAGGCUGUUUUAGGUGAACUUUAUGAGGCAGUAUCAGGCUUGCACAGACCCAUACUUGAUAAGGGAGUAGUAUUAUGGUUAUUAUGGAUACUAUUCCAAUACUAGACAGAUGGCAUCUUAAGGGUUAGUUACGUUGUGGAAUCUGAAACUUGUAUCAAAGAACUUUUUUAGGGACGUCUGGGUGGCUCAGUGGUUGAGCAUCAGCCUUUGGCCCAGGUCAUGAUCCUGGGAUCGAAUCCUGCAGUCAGGCUCCCUGCAGGGAGCCUGCUUCUCCCUCUGCCUAUGUCUCUGCCUCUGUGUGUGGUGUCUCUCAUGAAUAAAUAAAGAAAAUCUUUUUUAAAAAAAUCCAUCAGUUUAUCUCACAAUAAACUUUUACUCAUGCUUUGUUUAUGUGAUAUCAUUCAUUGGUUGUUUGGAAAAUAUUUGUUGCUGUGUUGGGCAGGUAGUUCCAAAUGCCGAUACGUUUGAAAGGUUAUCAAAAAUCACAUUUGCUAAUAAUAUCAUUACCACAAUGCUAUCAGAAAAGUCUCUGAAGUCAUGGGAAGCUAUUGGCAACUUCACAUUCAUUUUCUGUGGAAGGUGCCAGACACCUAAGCCUGAGGAACCAUAGUUUUGUUAAUGGUCUUUUUUUUUUUUUUUUAAGAUUUUAUUUAUUUAUGAGAGACACACACAGAGAGAGGCAGAGACAUAGAGGGAGAAGCAGGCUCCAUGCAGGGAGCCUGAUGUGGGACUUGAUCCCGGGUCUCCAGGAUCACACUGUGGGCCGAAGGUAACACUAAACUGCUGAGCCACUGGGACUGCCCAGCUAAUUGUCUUUUUAAGUAAAAAUAUUGUCACCUAAACAAAGCACAUAGUUCAGCUCACAACUCAGACUGUUAGUACACAGCACUAGUGAUCUGGUGUCCUCCUCAUUGUGUCACACACUUGUCACUCAGAACAUGGAAGAUGUGUACUCAUUGGUUGAGAUAUAAUUAAUACUUUUUUUAUGAGUUUUUCAGUGACAUUCUUGAGUAAAACUGACAUUCCCCCCCUUUCCUGGAAUUCAUGGGGAUAAAGAAUAGGACUCCUGGUUGCUCUGUCUUGUUUGUUGCCAGGCAGCUGCAGUUGUAUGCAGCACUGGUUUUGUACCAUUAGUGCAAAUAGUGUCUUAAUAUAAUUAUUUUUUUUUAUUUUUAUUUAUUUAUGAUAGUCACAGAGAGAGAGAGAGAGCAGAGACAAGGCAGAGGGAGAAGCAGGCUCCAUGCACCGGGAGCCCGACGUGGGAUUCGAUCCCGGGUCUCCGGCCAAAGGCAGGCGCUAAACCGCUGCGCCACUCAGGGAUCCCUUAAUAUAAUUAUAAUGCAGAUCUCAGAGACACAUCAGAGGGUCUUGGUGUCCCUAGGCGUCUGCAGUGCAACCACCUUUUGAAAACUACCGGCAAAGGAAGGUCUCAGGUUUAAUGGGAACGUUAAGCUCAUCCAGUUCGGCUGCUCUGAUUUCCUUGACACCGUGAUGGCCAAGUAUUUACUUAGAUUAUGCCUGAAUACUUCCACUUCCUGUGAAUAAUUAUGCUAAAUGGAUAAAAAUAUGUGGCAUAGACAGCUAUUUGAUGGCAAGUAAGAGAAAUCCUUAAUCAUAGAGUUGUGCUUUGUCCUGUUUUUUAAAAGUUUGCAUAGAUUUCCACAUGGUUUCUCUAAGUAAACAAGCAUGAUAAAAUGUAAAGAUGACUAAAUCAUGUUGUAAAGGACACAUCAUUAUGGUUUUAUUUUUCUUUUGCUGUGUUUAAAGACAAUUGUGAUCUUUGAUUUUGUCUUCUCUAUAAUUAAGUCAACUUAUAUUACACGUGCAUUGUUAUAUAUGCCCCGUGUGUUUCCUGAGUAGAUCACGAGCUACAUGAGGACAAGGGCUAUACAUUUAUGAAAUUUAAAUAGUCUGUAGUCCCUAGGCACUAUCAUGCACAUAAUGGGAUCUGUACAUAUUUAUGGCAUGACCUUUAACCUUUAAAUAGUAGGGAGGGAUGCAUUGGAAUCUGACAGGGCUGGGAAACUGAGGGACCGCUUCACUGGCCUAGGAUGGGUUUGAGAACUCCCGUGGGCAUUUGUGGUUGUGUUCUGAGGACUUGUCAUUGAGGAGGGGCAUGACUUUGCUACUGCUCUCUUUUUGUUGAGCAUGAGGUUAGACAGUAUUUAAAUAUUUUCCCUUAGGCAUGGAACCAUUCGCAUUUCUCCAGGUACGUAUAUAUGAGGGAGCACAUGAGGUGACGGAGAUCAGGUGAGCAUGCCUAUCACUCACUUGGUUGACUUAUCACUCU